Molecule: ribosomal RNA, 295 nt
Filed under: uncultured rumen bacterium
Lineage: Bacteria
Description: partial 16S ribosomal RNA
Rfam family: Bacterial small subunit ribosomal RNA
Source: RNAcentral
UCUGGAAACGGAUGGUAAUACCUCAUAACAUACAGAGACCGCAUGAUUUCUGUAUCAAAGAUUUGUCACUCUGAGAUGGGCUCGCGUCUGAUUAGCUAGAUGGUGAGGUAACGGCCCACCAUGGCGACGAUCAGUAGCCGGACUGAGAGGUUGAACGGCCACAUUGGGACCGAGACACGGCCCAGACUCCUACGGGAGGCAGCAGUGGGGAAUAUUGCACAAUGGGGGAAACCCUGAUGCAGCGAUGCCGCGUGGAGGAAGAAGGUUUUCGGAUUGUAAACUCCUGUCUUAAAGG